AUGCAAUUAGGGUUUUCGUUCAUCUUCUUCACAGUCUAUAAAACGCCGCCCCCAACAUCUCGAUACAGUAUGCUUCCAAAAAAUAGAGUGAAGCCAAUUUGCAGAGCAAGGGCGUCUAUGAUAAUAAUGGCGUGAAUUGCAUUGAAGGUUGGCAAUACUAACGUUAGCGAUUCUCCGUGCCUGGCAAAUCUUUUGGUUUUGAUCAUGGCCUCGAACAAGUCGCUACAUUCAUUCGAUCUCUUAUUCUUCUUCUGUUUCUCUUUUUUUAUGAGUUAACAUUCUCGUAGAUAAGUAGUUUGUUAAUCUAUAUUUCCGACGAAAUCUUCUAAUCUCUGCUGCUUUCAUUCAAAAAAUUUUAAAAUUAGACCUAGAAGGUCGAAUCUGAACUCGUACUCUACUAAAUAAUAUUUAGUACAGUUGCGGAUCUAAAAGAUUUCGUGAUGUUUAGCCUUUUUUUCGAAUUCGUUCGUCAUCCGUAGUUUCAAAAUCUUCGGUAAUUCAUCUGUAGUAAGUUUUUUGUUCUUCUGUUAUAGCCGUUUCUUAUUGUUCAAUGUUUCUGCUGGUUUCUCUCUCGUUGAUUCUUCCUUCUAACUUGGUUUCUCAUCCAUAAUUCUUGCUUUUGAACCUUUCGAUUUUUCGAAUUCGUUAUUUGUACAAAUCGUUUUCAAGUCUUACUACUUUCAAUUUCUGGUCUCUCAGAUGUUGUUUCUUAUUUCUCAAAGUUUUUCUUGUCUCCGUAGAUUUUCGAUAUUUCCAUUGAAUUUAGAAUUGAGAUGGAUCAUUUGAGUUGUUGGAUUAGUGGAUGGAAUGUGUGGAUUUUCCUUUGAUUGAGAGUCAUCUAUUGUAGAUUAUAUCGUUCAAUGCUCAAAUGAUCUCUUCUGUCUGGAGGUUGUGAAGGAAAAUGACGUGAAAGAGGGCUGAUUCUACAAUGUAAUCAAUGGAAAUGCUAAUAUAGAUAAUUUCUCCACUUGAAAAUUGAA
Non-coding RNA from Benincasa hispida (wax gourd), 980 nucleotides. The record is from RefSeq and is a predicted model, not a curated record. NCBI's taxonomy places the organism in Eukaryota, Viridiplantae, Streptophyta, Magnoliopsida, Cucurbitales, Cucurbitaceae.